RNAcentral lists this ribosomal RNA (264 nucleotides) under uncultured bacterium. RNAcentral's name for it is "partial 16S ribosomal RNA". It matches the Rfam family "Bacterial small subunit ribosomal RNA", at positions 92 to 354 of the family's 1533-position model. The record is from RNAcentral.
CGACCGGCGCACGGGUGAGUAACACGUAUGCAACCUGGCCGCCACAGGGGGAUAACCCGCGGAAACGCGGCCUAAUACCCCGUGACGCCACCGGAGGGCAUCCUCCAGUGGCCAAAGGAGCGAUCCGGUGGCGGAUGGGCAUGCGGCGCAUUAGCUAGACGGCGGGGUGACGGCCCACCGUGGCGACGAUGCGUAGGGGUUCUGAGAGGAAGGCCCCCCACACUGGGACUGAGACACGGCCCAGACUCCUACGGGAGGCAGCAG